Molecule: transfer RNA, 66 nt
Filed under: Anguilla anguilla (European eel)
Lineage: Eukaryota; Metazoa; Chordata; Actinopteri; Anguilliformes; Anguillidae
Description: tRNA-OTHER
Source: RNAcentral
GGCACGGUGGUGCAGCGGUUUGUGCUGUUGCCUCGCAAGGUUCUGGGUUCGAGUCCCGGCCGGCCA